AGUGAACGCUGGCGGUAGGCCUAACACAUGCAAGUCGAACGGCAGCACAGUAAGAGCUUGCUCUUACGGGUGGCGAGUGGCGGACGGGUGAGGAAUACAUCGGAAUCUACUUUUUCGUGGGGGAUAACGUAGGGAAACUUACGCUAAUACCGCAUACGACGUACGGGUGAAAGCAGGGGAUCUUCGGACCUUGCGCGAUUGAAUGAGCCGAUGUCGGAUUAGCUAGUUGGCGGGGUAAAGGCCCACCAAGGCGACGAUCCGUAGCUGGUCUGAGAGGAUGAUCAGCCACACUGGAACUGAGACACGGUCCAGACUCCUACGGGAGGCAGCAGUGGGGAAUAUUGGACAAUGGGCGCAAGCCUGAUCCAGCCAUACCGCGUGGGUGAAGAAGGCCUUCGGGUUGUAAAGCCCUUUUGUUGGGAGAGAAAAGCAGCAGGUUAAUACCCCGCUGUUCUGACGGUACCCAAAGAAUAAGCACCGGCUAACUUCGUG
This 492-nucleotide ribosomal RNA is filed under the name uncultured bacterium. RNAcentral describes it as "partial 16S ribosomal RNA". It matches the Rfam family "Bacterial small subunit ribosomal RNA", at positions 29 to 507 of the family's 1533-position model. The record is from RNAcentral.